CCUACGGGAGGCAGCAGUGGGGGAUAUUGGACAAUGGGGGGAACCCUGAUCCAGCGACGCCGCGUGAGCGAAGAAGUAGUUCGGUAUGUAAAGCUCUGUCAGCAGGGAAGAAAGAAAUGACGGUACCUGACUAAGAAGCCCCGGCUAACUACGUGCCAGAGCCGCGGUAAUACGUAGGGGGCAAGCGUUAUCCGGAAUUACUGGGUGUAAAGGGAGGGUAGACGGUUAAGUAAGUAUGGAGUGAAAGGCAGGGGCUCAACACCGGUACUGCUCUGGAAACUAUAUAACUUGAGUGCGGGAGAGGUAAGCGGAAUUCCUGGUGUAGCGGUUAAAUGCGUAGAUAUUAGGAGGAACACCAGUGGCGAAGGCGGCUUGCUGGACUGUUACUGACGUUGAGGCUCGAAAGCGUGGGGAGCAAACAGGAUUAGAUACCCGGGUAGUC
RNAcentral lists this ribosomal RNA (442 nucleotides) under uncultured bacterium. RNAcentral's name for it is "partial 16S ribosomal RNA". It matches the Rfam family "Bacterial small subunit ribosomal RNA", at positions 338 to 795 of the family's 1533-position model. The record is from RNAcentral.